CCCAACUAUCCCUAUUAAUCAUUACGUUGAUCCUAGAAACCAACAAAAUAGGUUCGAACGUCCUAUUUCAUUAUUCCAUGCUAAUGUAUUCAAGCUAAAGCCUGCUUUAAACACUCUAAUUUUUUCAAAGUAACAGUCCUAACUCCCCAUAACACCAAAUUAAUGACAUCAUGGUUCGUCAGAAAGGAGAGACCAAUGAUACCAGUACGUACCGAAGGCACGACCGACAUAUUGAUCCCGAAAUUCAACUACGAGCUUUUUAACUGCAACAACUUUAAUAUACGCUAUUGGAGCUGGAAUUACCGCGGCUGCUGGCACCAGACUUGCCCUCCAA
Molecule: unclassified non-coding RNA, 334 nt
Filed under: uncultured Glomerales
Lineage: Eukaryota; Fungi; Glomeromycota; Glomeromycetes; Glomerales; Glomeraceae
Also listed under: 1 other name
Description: sequence contains 18S rRNA gene
Source: RNAcentral